UUCAUUUUAUAUCUUUU
Molecule: small RNA, 17 nt
Filed under: Arabidopsis thaliana (thale cress)
Lineage: Eukaryota; Viridiplantae; Streptophyta; Magnoliopsida; Brassicales; Brassicaceae
Description: ATSL236580
Source: RNAcentral